CGACUGCCGACAAGAGAAGAUCUUGCGUAUAAUUUAGGUUUCGUAGAUUCAAGGAUACAUUCAGGACACAUUUAUCGAGCAUCAAAUAAUAAACAAUCUUACACAUAAUUAUCUCUUUAGAUUUACAAAUGAAAACCUAACACAAACACUGAAACAUACCCAAAAUAAAUACAAUUAAAUGUGCCAAACUGUUGCUAUUUGACUGACCAUCACUGUAUGUGCAGCCGUAUUUUUUUUU
This 238-nucleotide long non-coding RNA is filed under the name Drosophila guanche. Lineage: Eukaryota; Metazoa; Arthropoda; Insecta; Diptera; Drosophilidae. The record is from RNAcentral.